UACGUAGGGAGCAAGCGUUUGUCCGGAAUCAUUGGGCGUAAAGCGCGCGUAGGCGGCCCUGUAAGUCCGUUGUGAAAGUCAAAGGCUCAACCUUUGAAAGCCGAUGGAUACUGCAGGGCUAGAGUCCGGAAGAGGCGAGUGGAAUUCCUGGUGUAGCGGUGGAAUGCGCAGAUAUCAGGAGGAACACCAAUAGCGAAGGCAGCUCGCUGGGACGGUACUGACGCUAAGGCGCGAAAGCGUGGGGAGCGAACAGG
RNAcentral lists this ribosomal RNA (254 nucleotides) under uncultured bacterium. RNAcentral's name for it is "partial 16S ribosomal RNA". It matches the Rfam family "Bacterial small subunit ribosomal RNA", at positions 524 to 776 of the family's 1533-position model. The record is from RNAcentral.